CGGAACGUACCCAGUAGCGGGGGAUAACUACUCGAAGGAGUAGCUAAUACCGCAUACGCCCUUCGGGGGAAAGGGGGGGAUCUUCGGACCUCCCACUAUUGGAGCGGCUGAUAUCGGAUUAGCUAGUUGGUGAGGUAAAGGCUCACCAAGGCGACGAUCCGUAGCUGGUUUGAGAGGACGACCAGCCACACUGGAACUGAGACACGGUCCAGACUCCUACGGGAGGCAGCAGUGGGGAAUUUUGGACAAUGGGGGAAACCCUGAUCCAGCCAUUCCGCGUGUGUGAAGAAGGCCUUCGGGUUGUAAAGCACUUUUGGCGGGAAAGAAACGGCGUCGACUAAUACUCGGCGUAACUGACGGUACCCGCAGAAUAAGCACCGGCUAACUACGUGCCAGCAGCCGCGGUAAUACGUAGGGUGCAAGCGUUAAUCGGAAUUACUGGGCGUAAAGCGUGCGCAGGCGGUUCGGAAAGAAAGAUGUGAAAUCCCAGGGCUCAACCUUGGAACUGCAUUUUUAACUACCGGACUAGAGUAUGUCAGAGGGGGGUGGAAUUCCACGU
This 559-nucleotide ribosomal RNA is filed under the name uncultured bacterium. Its description in RNAcentral is "bacterial SSU rRNA". It matches the Rfam family "Bacterial small subunit ribosomal RNA", at positions 119 to 674 of the family's 1533-position model. The record is from RNAcentral.